Molecule: microRNA precursor, 64 nt
Filed under: Eisenia fetida (common brandling worm)
Lineage: Eukaryota; Metazoa; Annelida; Clitellata; Crassiclitellata; Lumbricidae
Description: Efe-Mir-1997-P5_pre stem-loop
Source: RNAcentral
UGGUUGAUGGUUCUCGCAAAGUGUCUGAUUACAGUACGCACUCUGCAGGUUCACAUCAGCCAUA